AGGGAUAGCUUUGUCUCAGUGACUGCAUAUGUUUGUUGGCAUUAGUCGUUGGGUAUGUUGGUUUAAUUUCAGCUUAGCUUGUGAUGGCAAUUUUGCUCCUCUCUACAUUUUAUUUAUUUAUUAAUUUAUUAUUAUUAGGGCCACUAGAAUUGUUAUUCUUUGUAAUUCCUCUAUCAUUUCUUAUUCGAUUAUUUCGUUUUAGGUUUGAAACCUUGAUGUAUUGUUAUCUUCUUUACAAAAGAGGUGAAGAGGAACAUAGGAAGUAACAGAUUUCUUGUAAACUUUUGAGUUCAUGUAUGUCAUUAGCUUCUUGUCGUGAAUUAAAAAAAAAAAAAUGUGUAGGAGCUGGAUUUAAUGGAUGCAG
RNAcentral lists this unclassified non-coding RNA (364 nucleotides) under Hevea brasiliensis (rubber tree). The record is from RNAcentral. Lineage: Eukaryota; Viridiplantae; Streptophyta; Magnoliopsida; Malpighiales; Euphorbiaceae.